AUAUAAUCAACCUUCUCUUUUUGAGUGGUUUGGAUGUGGGGGUUUGCUGGCCUCUUCUUAGAGAGUUCAGCUCCUCUGAAAUGCAUUAGCAGAACGAUCCUGUUCAUUGGUGUGAUAUAACUAUCUACGCUAUUGAAUGUGAGGAGCAGUUCAGCUUUCUAACGGUCCCUUGGACAAUUUAUCAUUA
Molecule: unclassified non-coding RNA, 187 nt
Filed under: uncultured Cortinarius
Lineage: Eukaryota; Fungi; Basidiomycota; Agaricomycetes; Agaricales; Cortinariaceae
Description: sequence contains ITS2
Source: RNAcentral